This 386-nucleotide long non-coding RNA is filed under the name Mus musculus (house mouse). RNAcentral describes it as "predicted gene, 47565". Lineage: Eukaryota; Metazoa; Chordata; Mammalia; Rodentia; Muridae. The record is from RNAcentral.
AGAUAUCAAAUCCAGCCUAUUGGUUUUUACAUUCAAAGGAAAAUGGGAAGCCUGAGCAAUAUGGGAAGACCACAAGCAAGAAGAGAAGUAACACAAACUCCUUUGAUGGCUGUGAGCACAUCCUCUUCAUUGCUUAGAUUCAGAGACUCAACACAUGCAGUAAAUCUAAGAACAUCUGCUGGUGCCUUGGCUCGUCCUGUCAAGGUGUUUGGUGUACACACGUGAUGAUCCAGGUUCAACCUUCAGACCCCUGUAUAAGUGGAAGGAGAGGAUUGAGUCCUGAAAGUUGUCCUGUAACUUCUACACAUGUACCUUGGCACAUUCACACCCACAAACAAAUAUGUUAAAUUAUCUUAAAAUCUGGAGAAAAGAGAGGCAGAAGGCGU